Long non-coding RNA from Mya arenaria, 715 nucleotides. RefSeq lists it as uncharacterized. Lineage: Eukaryota; Metazoa; Mollusca; Bivalvia; Myida; Myidae. The transcript has 3 exons. The record is from RefSeq and is a predicted model, not a curated record.
UAAUUUAUUUUCUUUAAGCUCUUAUCCAUAACAUGAUUUUUUGAAAGCAUGUAUGUUUGUAUAGUUUUAUCUUUUAUGGGAAUACUUAAUUGUUUUCGAUACACGGUGUUUUAUUAAGGAGCCAUAAUUUGACGUAUAUUUGACGUUCAAUACUGGUUAUGCUCAAUUUUCGGGUUUAUAUAUUAGAGUAUUUAGCAAACAAAUUUUCAACGAUAAUUUCAGACGCCGCCAUAACGGAAUGGACAUCUUCAGCACCUAGUUUAGCUGCUACUAAUGCAGAUGGCACCAUCAUUGCAUCAGAGACUAUUGCCGACAAUUCACCCGUUGGAACAAUUCUCUUUAAAGCAACACCAGUGGCUUCAGGAGGCACAGCCUCUUAUGCCCUAACGACCGAUGCGAAUGGAAAAGGAACUAUUUCUUCAACUGGUGUUGUAACUUUGGCGAUUGAUCAAUUGAUAUACUUCGAGACAACGCCAACACUGGUGUGCGUCGUCGUGUAGAGCACUAGGGACAUACACUGCGAUUGAUCCGGAUGCUGGUGACAUCAUCACAUACUCGAUUGCUUCCAGAGAUACUAAAAACGAAUUCACAAUUGCUACAUCAACAGGCGUGAUAACUGUGGCAACAGGAAAAACAAUUUCUAAGGCUUCAACCGCAACUUACAUCCUGGUAGUUAGUGCAGCCGACAAAGCCGGAUCAUAGGGAUCGACAACGA